GCCCUUAUAGCUCAGUAGUAGAGCGUCAGUCUUGUAAACUGAAGGUCUGUAAUUCAAUCCUGCAUGGGCCCA
Molecule: transfer RNA, 72 nt
Filed under: Ipomoea nil (Japanese morning glory)
Lineage: Eukaryota; Viridiplantae; Streptophyta; Magnoliopsida; Solanales; Convolvulaceae
Rfam family: tRNA
About the family: Transfer RNA (tRNA) molecules are approximately 80 nucleotides in length. Their secondary structure includes four short double-helical elements and three loops (D, anti-codon, and T loops). Further hydrogen bonds mediate the characteristic L-shaped molecular structure. tRNAs have two regions of fundamental functional importance: the anti-codon, which is responsible for specific mRNA codon recognition, and the 3' end, to which the tRNAs corresponding amino acid is attached (by aminoacyl-tRNA synthetases). tRNAs cope with the degeneracy of the genetic code in two manners: having more than one tRNA (with a specific anti-codon) for a particular amino acid; and 'wobble' base-pairing, i.e. permitting non-standard base-pairing at the 3rd anti-codon position.
Source: Rfam by way of RNAcentral